This 66-nucleotide transfer RNA is filed under the name Novofoudrasia regularis. RNAcentral describes it as "tRNA-Val". Lineage: Eukaryota; Metazoa; Arthropoda; Insecta; Coleoptera; Chrysomelidae. The record is from RNAcentral.
CAAAUUAAAGCUUAAGAAGCAUUUUAGUUACAUUAAAAAGUUAAUUGUUUAUUCAAUUUAAUUUGA